ACAAGUUAAUAAACUAAAACUUUCAACAACGGAUCUCUUGGUUCUGGCAUCGAUGAAGAACGCAGCGAAAUGCGAUAAGUAAUGUGAAUUGCAGAAUUCAGUGAAUCAUCGAAUCUUUGAACGCACAUUGCGCCCCUUGGUAUUCCGGGGGGCAUGCC
RNAcentral lists this ribosomal RNA (158 nucleotides) under Lasiodiplodia hormozganensis. RNAcentral's name for it is "5.8S ribosomal RNA". The stretch from base 18 to 158 matches the Rfam family "5.8S ribosomal RNA". Rfam says of the family: 5.8S ribosomal RNA (5.8S rRNA) is a component of the large subunit of the eukaryotic ribosome. RNAcentral also lists the same sequence under 1 other name. Lineage: Eukaryota; Fungi; Ascomycota; Dothideomycetes; Botryosphaeriales; Botryosphaeriaceae. The record is from RNAcentral.